Molecule: ribosomal RNA, 392 nt
Filed under: uncultured bacterium
Lineage: Bacteria
Description: bacterial SSU rRNA
Rfam family: Bacterial small subunit ribosomal RNA
Source: RNAcentral
AAGGGACCUUACCUGGUCUUGACAUCCACAGAAGUUUUCAGAGAUGCGAAGGUGCCUUCGGGAACUGUGAGACAGGUGCUGCAUGGCUGUCGUCAGCUCGUGUUGUGAAAUGUUGGGUUAAGUCCCGCAACGAGCGCAACCCUUAUCCUUUGUUGCCAGCGGUUAGGCCGGGAACUCAAAGGAGACUGCCAGUGAUAAACUGGAGGAAGGUGGGGAUGACGUCAAGUCAUCAUGGCCCUUACGACCAGGGCUACACACGUGCUACAAUGGCAUAUACAAAGAGAAGCGACCUCGCGAGAGCAAGCGGACCUCAUAAAGUAUGUCGUAGUCCGGAUUGGAGUCUGCAACUCGACUCCAUGAAGUCGGAAUCGCUAGUAAUCGUGGAUACAAAU